UUGAUUAUGGCUCAGGACGAACGCUGGCGGCGCGCCUAACACAUGCAAGUCGAACGAGCGAGAGAGAGCUUGCUUUCUCGAGCGAGUGGCGAACGGGUGAGUAACGCGUGAGGAACCUGCCUCAAAGAGGGGGACAACAGUUGGAAACGACUGCUAAUACCGCAUAAGCCCACGACCCGGCAUCGGGUAGAGGGAAAAGGAGCAAUCCGCUUUGAGAUGGCCUCGCGUCCGAUUAGCUAGUUGGUGAGGUAAUGGCCCACCAAGGCGACGAUCGGUAGCCGGACUGAGAGGUUGAACGGCCACAUUGGGACUGAGACACGGCCCAGACUCCUACGGGAGGCAGCAGUGGGGAAUAUUGCACAAUGGGGGAAACCCUGAUGCAGCGACGCCGCGUGGAGGAAGAAGGUCUUCGGACUGUAAACUCCUGUUGUUGAGGAAGAUAAUGACGGUACUCAACAAGGAAGUGACGGCUAACUACGUGCCAGCAGCCGCGGUAAAACGUAGGUCACAAGCGUUGUCCGGAAUUACUGGGUGUAAAGGGAGCGCAGGCGGGAAGACAAGUUGGAAGUGAAAUCCAUGGGCUCAACCCAUGAACUGCUUUCAAAACUGUUUUUCUUGAGUAGUGCAGAGGUAGGCGGAAUUCCCGGUGUAGCGGUGGAAUGCGUAGAUAUCGGGAGGAACACCAGUGGCGAAGGCGGCCUACUGGGCACCAACUGACGCUGAGGCUCGAAAGUGUGGGUAGCAAACAGGAUUAGAUACCCUGGUAGUCCACACUGUAAACGAUGAUUACUAGGUGUUGGAGGAUUGACCCCUUCAGUGCCGCAGUUAACACAAUAAGUAAUCCACCUGGGGAGUAC
Molecule: ribosomal RNA, 857 nt
Filed under: uncultured bacterium
Lineage: Bacteria
Description: bacterial SSU rRNA
Rfam family: Bacterial small subunit ribosomal RNA
Source: RNAcentral